This is a long non-coding RNA of Manihot esculenta (cassava), 908 nucleotides long. RefSeq lists it as uncharacterized. Lineage: Eukaryota; Viridiplantae; Streptophyta; Magnoliopsida; Malpighiales; Euphorbiaceae. The record is from RefSeq and is a predicted model, not a curated record. The transcript is spliced from 2 exons.
GAAUCCUUAAUAACUAUUAAUUUGCAUGGCACAAUCUAGCAUAGAGUAGACUUAUUUAGUCUUUCAUUUCUCUAUGGUGUAAAAAAUUAGUAAAGUAGCCUCUAUACUCUUGUGACUUGAGCAACUCUCCCUCCUUCUUCGUCAUUUUCUCCGCUUUUUAGGAUUUAUCUUUGCCGCUCGUCGGCCUCCCCUUCCCUAAAGAGCAGAAAAGAUUUAUGCUAAAAGUGAGGGUAUUUGAUUAGUGCCUACAUGUCCUUUGCUCUUCUCCAUGCCGAAAUUCUCCUUCCCAGUUCGGCCAUGGCUACGGUUUUCUAUGCUUAGGAGGUUUUAAAGGGAGCAGAGAAUGUAUCUCGGGGACCGCUGCCAUUGGGAAGGCAUCGAUUCCUUAACGACUAUAAGUAGAAGCCAAGGGUAUGCUAAGCCUAAUUGGAUUUCGACUUCUGUGAUUCUGGGCUUGUUGAAGUUUGAUGAUGGUUUCUAGUAGCGACUCUGCUCCUUUUUAAUUUGGGUUUCUGUCUCAAGUGUGGAUCUUCUCUUGGCUUGCUUGUUUCUGUCGUGAUAUUUUUCUAGUCAUGCAUAUUGUUCCCCGCUCCUAGAUAUGCAUCGUGAUGGUUUUUUGGUGAUGAGUAUUGCAGUUCCGAGAGAUCAUAGGUUGCUGACGGCAUUAUGGGUUCGUGGUACUGGCGAUGUCGGUUUGUGGAACCGAAUCCCGUGACCGGAUUGAAGCUUUGAGUCGGGUCCUUAUUGAGUUUUAGGGUUUGAUUAUGUAAUGGGCUAAAACCCUGUUUCUUUGGACCUUUGCUAGUUUCUUAUUUUUUUUGAGCUUCUAGGCCCUAUGAUGUAUAUAUACCCAUUUGAUUUGUAACCUUUAAUCCUUGGUAAUAAUAAAAAAAAAAAGUAAAAUCUCA